GGAGCCCCUACCAAACCACAUUGAGAAUUAAAGAACAAAAGAGUAAAGUGCAAGCGAGCUUCCUCUACCCCAAACAACAGGCAAGCUACUUCUAGCGAUUAGAUGAGAGCAGAGGAAGACGGACACGACCCACAACCAAUCCCUCUCCUCACCAGGGUCGAAUACGGCUGUUCCCCAGCUGAUAACCUGCUACAGUAACACUGCUAGUUACAAAACGGAGUUCAGGUCUCGGUAACACCGGGAUCCUGUCACCUAUAGCUUCACUGAAACCUGUUUUAAAACACUCUCUCAGGGAACGAGGAGAAACAGGAGAGGGAUGGGACAGUCUCCUCCCGAGCUGCCACCAAAAACUGUUCUGCCAGCUGCAGGGGGGCUGCCGGCGACCUCGCAGCCGCAUCCACCCAGCUCUUAGAGGGAAGGAGAGGGAGCGGGAGGGACCCCGGCUCCGGCUACCCUGGCUGCGCUGCCCGCCUGCCCACGCGUGUGCCCCGGGGGAAGCUGCCCGGUGCGGCGGGGGCAGCGCCGGACGCUGGAGACCCGUUCUACCCGCGCUGCAGCAGCGACUGCAAUUAAAAAAAAAAAAAAAAAAAAAAGGAAGAAAAGAAAAAUAAAUAAAUAAAUUGCCCGCUAGCGGGAAUGGGAAAAUAAAAGCCCAGCCGAAACAGGCGGACCCCAAACGACAACAAACACCGGGCGCCAAGGAGAGCAAACUUUCUGACUCACUGGGAAGAGCCAGUGCCCGGGGGGCGCCGGGCAGCGGCGGGGGCGGCGCGCGGCCCCGCGGGAGCGCAGCCGGAGCAGGAGCCGGAGCCGAGCGAGGCGGGCGCCGCAGGCGGGGCUGGGGCAGCGCGUCUCGCCCUGCUCCCGCCGCCCUCCCCUCCCUCCUUCCCCGUCCCUCUGCAGCGCCAGGAGCCGCCCGGGGCGGGCUGCCGCCGCGGGACCGCCGUACCUACCGCUGCCGGUGCGGGGCCGCGGAGCAGCGGGAGCCGCCGCCGCCACCCCCCUUCGGCGGCUGCCGGGCCCGGCGGCGCUGCAGCAGGCGGAGGACGCCCCGCGGCGGCGAGGAGCGCGGGGCCGAGGUUGGUACAGAGAUGAGUUCCAGCCAAGACCUCACUUUCUUAUGUCCUGAAUAGCUCUUGGGAAGUUGCUGGCUUGACCCUGGAGACUUAACAGUCUAAUUUUUUAAUAACUGAAGGAUUAUUUUUUUUAAUUUAAAAAAGGACUCAUUUUAGCUGUCGCAUAAGCAUGCAUUAUAUCCCAAUACUUCAAUUGGAGCUGCACAGGCAUAUCUGAGAGCACAAUUAGGCCCUCUGGACCUUUUAAAGCUUCAAAAAUAGUCAUGUGUAAUUCCUUCUUCUGUGGAUCCUGCAAGCUUUAAGAGAUUUUUUGAAAGCUGUAAAUUCCUAUUUAUCCACUAAGAGGCUCACGGGCAAUCUUCCCCUAAUGGAAAUAGAACUGUAAAGCUGAAACAUUAAUAUACACAAUAGGAUACAUUAGGCAGGGAGACUCGUCGGAGCCAACAAGAGGGCACAGCGGCCAUGCCGCGACGGAGCCGGAGCCAAACAGGUUCACUCCACUUUCUUGGCUUCCUGCAUGCAGGGUUCACUAUCUGAUUUAUAUCGUUAGUACUGCACAGUUCCCUCUUUAAAAAUAAAUAAAUAAAAAAAACAACAGACCCAUCUGACCUUUGAAUCCCUCAUCUGCAUUGGCUGGCAGCUGGCGCUGGCGAAUCGGAGGGCACAGUUUGGUCUAAAAGCAAGACAGCUAUUCCCCAAUAACUGCGCUGUUAAUAUGCAAAUCUCAGCCCUCUGCCAACUGUAAUCUCCCGCCUCUGAUUGGCUUCAGUGAUGACAAAGAUCCAGGUUAUUCAUUAGCAGGGAAAAUAUGCUCUCCAGGUUCCCCCUUAAGAUGAAGCAUUAUAAAGCCUCAAGAACAUGCAGGCUAGUGACAAACAACAACAAAACAAGACAAAGAGAAGCCAACAAAAUGGGAUUAAAAACACAGUAAAAGAGAAAACUGCAUUUAAAAAUUUUCCUGAUUCCUUUUCUUCUUCCUUGCUUUCCCUCGGGAGUUUUGCCAGUGACUGCAGAUGGGCCAUUUUUGUUUUGGUUUUUUUUUUCCAACCCUUGUUUUCUACAUAUGAUGUUGUACUCAAGUUCACAGCAGAAGGCUUGAAUUUGUUCUGAGAACGUAAUUUCUGUGCUGGAAGGCGUGCACGUGUCUGUCUCCGUGAGUCAGCUUUCUUGGCUGGCAAACAGAAUACUAGGAGGCAAUGUAUCAACAUGUAUUGAUAAAUAUCUUGAUACCAAAAAUGGAAUGGAGCAAUUGAGCAAGAAGCAGUCCAUGGUUCAACACUUCAAAAGCCAUUGCAAAAAUCAGCCACCAAUAUCCGCACCAAUAUUGGUUUAUUCUUCACAGAAGGCCAGACUUAGCUAACCUCUGAACUUAGCAGAAUGUUCUGCAAGACAUGAGCUGAUGGGAAUGCUUGUGCCAACUAAACUGUCGAGACAAACAGAUCAUUUUCCAUCAGCAUCCAAUACAGCAUACAAGAGUAAGAUGUGUUCUGCAUUACAUGGAAUAAAAACUAAAUAAUUCUACCGACUCUAAUAGUGUUAAAUUCUGAGGAACCUUUGCAGAACUGGGUUGGGCUUGGGUGUCUCCAAAGCAGGUGUGCAGCCACUCUGCUCCUCCAUCUUUGGCUUUAUUUUGUAAAUUUUUCUUUGUUCUUGCAAUUCACCUUUCCUGAAACACAACAAGGUGCACUCUAUUCACUCCAGUACAGAUGCAGCCAGCUCUCCUGCUUCCUGCUUUGAGGUUGGAGAUGAGAUCAAGUUGGUAACUUCAUAGAUCAAUGUAUCUGGGCUGAAAUUGUGUUCCCAAUAAAAUCAGUAUUAAUUUUAUCAUCUGUUUUGUCACAACUGUGAUUUUGCUUCUCAAGGCUGGCAGCAGAGUGUUUUUGGAGGACUGAGCAUUGAUUUUAAUUUCUCAGUAAGAUCAAGAAGGCCAGGUGCUAUUAGUGUUCAGUGAGUGACUCUUUUCUUUCCUCAGGCUUUUCACCAAGGGGAAGCUAGAUAAUUUUUCUGUGGGUGGACAAUCCCUCUGACUAAAAAGAAGCCGAGUUCUGAGAAGUACUGUAAUCUUGCCUGUUUCUCACAAAGCAGGUAAAAUGGCUCCUCACACAAAUUACCAGACAAAAAGUGAAGCACACACACCUGUGGGGAACCUGCAGUGAGAGUGUGAUAGGGUUACCUGACUGCAAGUCCUUGAAUACCUGGGAAGGAUGGAGGGCUGAGCUCAGAGAGGGCUUCACACAGGGCUUUUGAUUAACUUGCCACAGAGAGAGAUGGCUGUGAAAAAUAGAGAACUAUGCCACAAAGCCACUUUCCUUUUCUGUGUCACGCAUCUCAGAUACAAAGAUAAUGGGAACAGCACAGAGAAAUGCAGGCAGAUAUCUGAAA
Molecule: long non-coding RNA, 3458 nt
Filed under: Corvus moneduloides (New Caledonian crow)
Lineage: Eukaryota; Metazoa; Chordata; Aves; Passeriformes; Corvidae
Description: lncRNA (ENSCMUG00000004410.2)
Source: RNAcentral